Molecule: ribosomal RNA, 502 nt
Filed under: uncultured bacterium
Lineage: Bacteria
Description: partial 16S ribosomal RNA
Rfam family: Bacterial small subunit ribosomal RNA
Source: RNAcentral
AACGAACGCUAGCGAUAGGCUUAACACAUGCAAGUCGAGGGGCAUCACGGUGUAGCAAUACACUGGUGGCGACCGGCGCACGGGUGAGUAACACGUAUCUAAUCUACCCAUAACUCUGGAUAGCCCGUCGAAAGGCGGAUUAAUACCGGAUAACACAGGGACACCGCAUGGUGAUAUUUGUUAAAGAUUUAUUGGUUAUGGAUGAGGAUGCGUUCCAUUAGGUAGUUGGUAGGGUAACGGCCUACCAAGCCUGCGAUGGAUAGGGGAACUGAGAGGUUUAUCCCCCACACGUGUACUGAGACCCGGACCAGACUCCUACGGGAGGCAGCAGUGAGGAAUAUUGGUCAAUGGGCGGGAGCCUGAACCAGCCAAAUCGCGUGAAGGAAGAAGGUAUUAUGUAUUGUAAACUUCUUUUGUAUGGGAAUAAAAAGAGUCACGUGUGACUUGUUGCAUGUACCAUACGAAUAAGCAUCGGCUAACUCCGUGCCAGCAGCCGCGGUAA